AAAUAAUUUUUAUAGCGUAAAAGCUAAAAAAAUUCAUACAUACUGUAAUAUAGAUAACCAAAGUAUAAAAUUUAAUUUACAGUGACACGUGGGCCCACGAACGACCAAAAGUAUCAAAAGCGGUAAACCUACAAUUUUUGAGGAUGCAAGUCCAACUGUAGCCCUCAACAAAGUGAGCUAUCUACCGACUAUCUUGAGCCUGAAAUGGGUGGAAAGGAUGAUGGUUAGAUUAUAUAAUCCCAAUGAGUAAACAAAUAUCAUCUAAAAUAUCUAAAAUUGAGUAAAUGGAAAUAGAUAAAAUAAAUUAGCAUAAAAAUGAUUCAUAGCAUUUUGAGCUCGUUUUAAUAAGAUAAAAUAGAUUCAUUUCACCCAAAUAAACAAUGAGGCUUAUGAUUUUCUGAAAAGUUUGGCUCGUGCCAAAAUCAUUAUCAUACUCAGUUAUCAGGGAAACCUUGGCUGAGGGUUAUCCCAACCGAGUCCGCCAAGGCUGUUAAAAGUCAUGUACGCAUAAAUCAUGUUUUUAUUUUGAAAAUAUAGUCGUUCAUUAGCGUUGGCUGAGUUCACCCUCACGUGGUGGUUUGGCGUGAAGUGAACUCUAAAGUGUUAACCUCAUGAGUAAUCCAUCCGCACCUCUCAUAC
RNAcentral lists this long non-coding RNA (639 nucleotides) under Theobroma cacao (cacao). RNAcentral describes it as "long non-coding RNA (TCAC_LNC006028)". Lineage: Eukaryota; Viridiplantae; Streptophyta; Magnoliopsida; Malvales; Malvaceae. The record is from RNAcentral.